UGGGGUGGGCUCAGUAGUAGAGCACUUGCCUCGCAUGCACGAGGCACUGGGUUCGAUCCUCAGCACCACAU
Non-coding RNA from Ictidomys tridecemlineatus (thirteen-lined ground squirrel), 71 nucleotides. NCBI's taxonomy places the organism in Eukaryota, Metazoa, Chordata, Mammalia, Rodentia, Sciuridae. The record is from Rfam.